GAGGAAUAUUGGACAAUGGGUGAGAGCCUGAUCCAGCCAUCCCGCGUGAAGGACGACGGCCCUAUGGGUUGUAAACUUCUUUUGUAUAGGGAUAAACCUACUCUCGUGAGAGUAGCUGAAGGUACUAUACGAAUAAGCACCGGCUAACUCCGUGCCAGCAGCCGCGGUAAUACGGAGGGUGCAAGCGUUAUCCGGAUUUAUUGGGUUUAAAGGGUCCGUAGGCGGACUCGUAAGUCAGUGGUGAAAUCUCAUAGCUUAACUAUGAAACUGCCAUUGAUACUGCGGGUCUUGAGUAAAGUAGAAGUGGCUGGAAUAAGUAGUGUAGCGGUGAAAUGCAUAGAUAUUACUUAGAACACCAAUUGCGAAGGCAGGUCACUAUGUUUUAACUGACGCUGAUGGACGAAAGCGUGGGGAGCGAAC
RNAcentral lists this ribosomal RNA (420 nucleotides) under uncultured bacterium. RNAcentral's name for it is "bacterial SSU rRNA". It matches the Rfam family "Bacterial small subunit ribosomal RNA", at positions 356 to 773 of the family's 1533-position model. The record is from RNAcentral.